CCUCUCAUGGCGUAGUGGUUAACGCGCCCCAACUAGAGAUCGGGGAGUCGUGAGUUUGAUUCUCACUGAGAAGA
Molecule: non-coding RNA, 74 nt
Organism: Aedes aegypti (yellow fever mosquito)
Lineage: Eukaryota; Metazoa; Arthropoda; Insecta; Diptera; Culicidae
Source: Rfam